Molecule: ribosomal RNA, 791 nt
Filed under: uncultured marine bacterium
Lineage: Bacteria
Description: bacterial SSU rRNA
Rfam family: Bacterial small subunit ribosomal RNA
Source: RNAcentral
GCAAGUCGAACGAUAAGCUAGACUUCGGUUUAGUGGACAGUGGCAGACGGGUGAGUAACGCGUGGGAAUCUACCUUUGAGUGGGGAAUAACAAUUAGAAAUGAUUGCUAAUACCGCAUACACCCUCCGGGGGAAAGGCUUCGGCCGCUCUUAGAUGAGCCCGCGUACGAUUAGUUUGUUGGUGAGGUAAAGGCUCACCAAGACUACGAUCGUUAGCUGGUUUGAGAGGAUGAUCAGCCACACUGGGACUGAGACACGGCCCAGACUCCUACGGGAGGCAGCAGUGGGGAAUAUUGGACAAUGGGCGAAAGCCUGAUCCAGCCAUGCCGCGUGAGUGAAGAAGGCCUUAGGGUUGUAAAACUCUUUCGACAGGGAAGAUAAUGACGGUACCUGUAUAAGAAGCUCCGGCUAACUCCGUGCCAGCAGCCGCGGUAAUACGGAGGGGGCAAGCGUUGCUCGGAAUUACUGGGCGUAAAGCGAGCGUAGGCGGUUAAUCAAGUUGGUGGUGAAAGCCCGGAGCUCAACUCCGGAACUGCCAUCAAAACUGGUUAACUUGAGAUUGGUAGAGGAAAAUGGAAUUCCUAGUGUAGAGGUGAAAUUCGUAGAUAUUGGGGAGAACAUCGGUGGCGAAGGGGAUUUUCUGGGCCAAAUCUGACGCUGAGGUUCGAAAGCGUGGGUAGCAAACAGGAUUAGAUACCCUGGUAGUCCACGCCGUAAACGAUGAGUGCUAGACGUUGGGAAUUUAUUUUUCAGUGUCGUAGUUAACGCAUUAAGCACUCCGCCUGGGGAGUA